UCCGUAGGUGGAUAAUUAAGUCAGAGGUGAAAUCCUGCAGCUCAACUGUAGAAUUGCCUUUGAUACUGGUUAUCUUGAGUCAUUAUGAAGUGGUUAGAAUGUGUAGUGUAGCGGUGAAAUGCAUAGAUAUUACACAGAAUACCGAUUGCGAAGGCAGAUCACUAAUAAUGUACUGACACUGAGGGACGAAAGCGUGGGGAGCGAACAGGAUUAGAUACCCUGGAGUCC
Molecule: ribosomal RNA, 228 nt
Filed under: uncultured bacterium
Lineage: Bacteria
Description: partial 16S ribosomal RNA
Rfam family: Bacterial small subunit ribosomal RNA
Source: RNAcentral